This 375-nucleotide ribosomal RNA is filed under the name uncultured bacterium. RNAcentral describes it as "bacterial SSU rRNA". It matches the Rfam family "Bacterial small subunit ribosomal RNA", at positions 524 to 898 of the family's 1533-position model. The record is from RNAcentral.
UACGUAGGUGGCAAGCGUUGUCCGGAAUUACUGGGUGUAAAGGGCGAGUAGGCGGAUGCACAAGUCAGAUGUGAAAUACCAAGGCUCAACCUUGGGGCUGCAUUUGAAACUGUGCGUCUUGAGUGAUGGAGAGGCAGGCGGAAUUCCCGGUGUAGCGGUAAAAUGCAUAGAGAUCGGGAGGAACACCAGUGGCGAAGGCGGCCUGCUGGACAUUAACUGACGCUGAGGCGCGAAAGUGUGGGGAGCAAACAGGAUUAGAUACCCUGGUAGUCCACACUGUAUACGAUGGAUACUAGGUGUGGGGGGUCUGACCCCUUCCGUGCCGGAGUUAACACAAUAAGUAUCCCACCUGGGGAGUACGAUCGCAAGAUUGAA